Molecule: long non-coding RNA, 237 nt
Filed under: Gossypium raimondii (Peruvian cotton)
Lineage: Eukaryota; Viridiplantae; Streptophyta; Magnoliopsida; Malvales; Malvaceae
Description: long non-coding RNA (GRAI_LNC007467)
Source: RNAcentral
CUGACUCUCUUUUUGUUGGGCUAUAUUGGGCCAUUAGAUUUGGGUUUAGAAAAUUGGGUUUAGGGUCAUUGGGCUGGUAUUGGGCUUAGCGGGUUUUAGAUGUAAAUGGACAUUAUUGGACAUUUUAUUUAUAUAUAUAUAUAUAUUAUUUUUUACUUUUUAUUAUUAUAUAUUUUUUUAUAUUUUGGUUUUAAUACUUUGGCUCGGGCCGGGCAAAAAUGGACUCUUACAAGCUCC